Molecule: ribosomal RNA, 248 nt
Filed under: uncultured bacterium
Lineage: Bacteria
Description: partial 16S ribosomal RNA
Rfam family: Bacterial small subunit ribosomal RNA
Source: RNAcentral
UACAGAGGUCUCAAGCGUUGUUCGGAUUCAUUGGGCGUAAAGGGUGCGUAGGCGGCGAGGCAAGUCUGGUGUGAAAUCCCGGGGCUCAACCCCGGAACUGCACUGGAUACUGCUUUGCUAGAGUACUGGAGAGGGAACUGGAAUUUACGGUGUAGCAGUGAAAUGCGUAGAUAUCGUAAGGAAGCCCAGCGGAGAAGGCGAGGUCCUGUACAGUUACUGACGCUGAGGCACGAAGGCCAGGUGAGCAA